UACAGAGGGGGCAAGCGUUGUUCGGAAUUACUGGGCGUAAAGGGCGCGUAGGCGGCCUUCUAAGUCGAACGUGAAAUCCCCGGGCUCAACCCGGGAACUGCGUCCGAUACUGGAAGGCUUGAAUCCGGGAGAGGGAUGCGGAAUUCCAGGUGUAGCGGUGAAAUGCGCAGAUAUCAGGAGGAACACCGGUGGCGAAGGCGGGUCUCUGGGCCGAUACUGACGCUGAGGAGCGAAAGCGUGGGGAGCAAACAGG
RNAcentral lists this ribosomal RNA (253 nucleotides) under uncultured bacterium. Its description in RNAcentral is "partial 16S ribosomal RNA". It matches the Rfam family "Bacterial small subunit ribosomal RNA", at positions 524 to 776 of the family's 1533-position model. The record is from RNAcentral.